GAUGAACGCUGGCGGCGUGCCUAAUACAUGCAAGUCGAGCGAACGGACGAGAAGCUUGCUUCUCUGAUGUUAGCGGCGGACGGGUGAGUAACACGUGGAUAACCUACCUAUAAGACUGGGAUAACUUCGGGAAACCGGGGCUAAUACCGGAUAAUAUUUUGAACCGCAUGGUUCAAAAGUGAAAGACGGUCUUGCUGUCACUUAUAGAUGGAUCCGCGCUGCAUUAGCUAGUUGGUAAGGUAACGGCUUACCAAGGCAACGAUGCAUAGCCGACCUGAGAGGGUGAUCGGCCACACUGGAGCUGAGACACGGUCCAGACUCCUACGGGAGGCAGCAGUAGGGAAUCUUCCGCAAUGGGCGAAAGCCUGACGGAGCAACGCCGCGUGAGUGAUGAAGGUCUUCGGAUCGUAAAACUCUGUUAUUAGGGAAGAACAUAUGUGUAAGUAACUGUGCACAUCUUGACGGUACCUAAGCAGAAAGCCACGGCUAACUACGU
This 496-nucleotide ribosomal RNA is filed under the name uncultured bacterium. RNAcentral's name for it is "partial 16S ribosomal RNA". It matches the Rfam family "Bacterial small subunit ribosomal RNA", at positions 28 to 506 of the family's 1533-position model. The record is from RNAcentral.